AGGUUUGGUUUUGCCCUAUGAUGCUUUUUUUUCCCAUAAGAAGAAUGAGGGAAGGAAGGAGGGAAGGAAGGUGGGAAGGAAGGCAGGAAGGCAGGCAGGAAAGCGGGAAGGCAGGCAGGCAGGCAGGCAGGCAGGCAGGAAGGAAGGAAGGAAGGAAGGAAGGAAGGAAGGAAGGAAGGAAGGCCCCUAGAGCCACCUACAGAUGCCCAUUACUACUGUUUCCAACAUUUCUUCUGUAAUGACACUGCUCAACACCCCAGAGGAGCAGUGAGGCUCUGGGUACAGACAAAAUUGUUGGUGAAAGGGAGGUGAAAGGAGAGCCAGGUCUUCUUACCUUGAGAUCAGCAGCUGUUGCCAAUGCAAGAGACUCCCCGAAGCUCUCAGUGUUAAGCUGAAUGAAGAGGCCUAUGAUCGCAGAAGACACAGCAGGGACAAGCCAAAAGCCGGGAAAGCUGAGCAGGCUCACUCUGGGUCUGUGCGCCGGGUGUGUGCCUUCCCUUGCCGGCUAAGGCGGUCCCUGUUGUCUCCCCGGUCCUUUUUCCAGCUAUUUCCCAAAAGAGAAGGUUUUGGGCAGACUGCUAUGUGCUCGCUCCCCGGGAUGGAGACCCAAGAAGAAGAGCUCGCUGAGAAGGGCAGCGAAAGGAGAAGCGUCGGGACAGCUCCAGGUGCCGGGCGGGCGCUGCGGCGGGGCUGGCAGCUCCCGGGAUGAGCCGCCUCUGCCCGGAGGAAAGGCAGUCAGUCCCCAGGCAAAGGAGAGAGACGACUCUGUUCCCCGCAGAAGAUGCCAGCGCUCUUCCAGAAGCCUUGUUUUAUUUCGUGCCCGGGAUUUAUCGCUCCUCUGCCAUUCCGUUCGCCCUGUCCGCCCUCACAUCUCAGACAAGCCGGGGAGGCUCUGCGCUGCCGGGGCUGCCCGCUCCGCUCCCGGCCGUGCCCGCUGCAGCGAGGAAAGCCCGAGAGAUGCUGGCUCUCCCCGGCCGCUCGGGGCGGUUGUCCCAGCGCAGGCACUGAGCGGCUCGCUGAGCCCUCCGCAGCAGCGCUCGGGGGGCUGGGCACCCCCAUAACCUCCCGGGCCGGCACUCAGCACCACCCCAAAGCCGAGCGCUAACCGAAGGAGUUUGAGAGAGAAACCACGGAGAGGGAAACGGAGAGAGAGGUUGGGGUAAGGAUGUAUGUGCGUGCGUGUGGGGAAGCCAGAUCACUUGUGAAUGGCUUGAAAAAAAUAAUUGGGGGAGGGCGUGGAGGGGGGGAAGCGGAAACUUUCCUAUAAAACUCAGCAAAAGUCCCUCCUCUCCACGUCAGGCCAAUGACACUGCUGCCCCCAAACUUUCCGCCAGCAGGAGCUAUAAGAACCUCCAAGUCUUCAACUUUCUCCCAAUCCCAGACACCUCGAAGGGGCUCCAAGGAGGGAGAGGGAGGGAUUUUUUUUUUGGUUGGCCUUUUUAUUUUUUUGCUCUUGGAUCCUGAUGCCAUCCCCCCUCCCCCCAAAGUGAGGUCCUCCCUCCUUCCUUCCCUCCUCCUUCUCCUCGCAGGCCAGCGAAGCAGCCGAUCAAGGGGGAGCUGGCGGGGUAGGUGCCCCCCUCUUGUUC
This 1586-nucleotide long non-coding RNA is filed under the name Geospiza fortis (medium ground-finch). Its description in RNAcentral is "lncRNA (ENSGFOG00000012955.1)". Lineage: Eukaryota; Metazoa; Chordata; Aves; Passeriformes; Thraupidae. The record is from RNAcentral.